GUAGGGAAUCUUCGGCAAUGGACGAAAGUCUGACCGAGCAACGCCGCGUGAGUGAAGAAGGUUUUCGGAUCGUAAAACUCUGUUGGUAGAGAAGAACGUUGGUGAGAGUGGAAAGCUCAUCAAGUGACGGUAACUACCCAGAAAGGGACGGCUAACUACGUGCCAGCAGCCGCGGUAAUACGUAGGUCCCGAGCGUUGUCCGGAUUUAUUGGGCGUAAAGCGAGCGCAGGUGGUUUAUUAAGUCUGGUGUAAAAGGCAGUGGCUCAACCAUUGUAUGCAUUAGAAACCCCAGUAGUCC
RNAcentral lists this ribosomal RNA (298 nucleotides) under uncultured bacterium. Its description in RNAcentral is "partial 16S ribosomal RNA". It matches the Rfam family "Bacterial small subunit ribosomal RNA", at positions 354 to 642 of the family's 1533-position model. The record is from RNAcentral.